Molecule: long non-coding RNA, 1542 nt
Organism: Beta vulgaris subsp. vulgaris (sugar beet)
Lineage: Eukaryota; Viridiplantae; Streptophyta; Magnoliopsida; Caryophyllales; Amaranthaceae
Exons: 2
Source: RefSeq, a predicted model, not a curated record
GUAUUUAGUUAAGCAUUUGUUUCGAAGAGGGUGACAAGUCAAAUAAAACAAAUGUUUUUUUUAAUGAGAAUAAAACGAAUGCUUGAUAGUUCUAUUUAAUAAAAAUAUUGGGAUCUUCUUUGAUAAGUUAAUACUAAAACAAUUUAAAUUGAUAACAAUCUCCUCUCUCCCUCGUAUCUUUCGUAAAAGUAUACCAUGUCGAUCACUACCAGUCUACCAGUCCAUUGUUUGGCAUCACUGCCACGUAACUUUAUAACAGUACCCUGAAUUUAACACCAUCACCACGCAAAUUAUAGUCCUUAUGAUUAAGACAUUAAUUCAGCCAACAGCCAACUAUAGGACUAAGUCUUCCAUUGAUCUCCUGCUCACUCACUAUCUCAUUGUGGUCCAAUGUUAAUUUGGUUUCAGUCAUAAGAGCAUCAACUGGAGCAAAAAUCUCAAGAGAUUGCUGAAGCAAGAUUGGAAAUUUGAGGGGAAAGUAACAGAGAUAUUUUUCUUUUUUUCAGUACUAGUGCCUUGUGAGUUGUGAUGUGAACGUCGCACGUUAAUGUUUUGUGGCUAUGGACUUACAGUUAAUAAAAUGUUUCUUAAAGCUUACAGUUUUUUAGAACUAGCUUUUUAUGCACGCGAUGCGUGCGAUGAUAUUUUUAAUACCCCUUCUAAACUACAUCGCUAAAACUCUCAUAAGCACUGGUCUCAUAAUAGAUGAAUUUCCUUCCUUGUUGAACACCAAGUUUGCUAGUGAAAUUAGAGUUGCAUUCACUUCACACUUAUCUAAUCAGGCUUACUUGUUCAAAGAAAAUUUUGAUGCACCCCUCCCCAUCUAAUAAGCAAUGCGUGGAACAACAUUUAGCCAACCACCCACCUAAUACCAUGAUUCAUGCGUGGCUUUCUCUCUCUCCACACUCUUCCAUUUUUCUCCCUUCUGGUCUUCAUCUUCAAGAGACAUUUACUCCAAUUUUCACCUUUCAUCUUCAACAUUAAGUUUCAAUUCCCAAAUCAACUUUUACCCAUGUACACCAAAUUUAAACUUUCAUUACUUAUCUCUCCUAAAAUUCCCAUAAAAUCAAAAAGAUGAAAAAAAAACCUAAUCUCCUUUUCUAAAUAUUAACACUAAAUACUCCGUAUACAUAUUUCAACUGUGUUUAAUUUGCGAACAACAUCAAAGAAAUACAUGCAACAAUAGAUUUUCAAAUCAACAUCAAAGAACAACAUAAAAAAUCAGGCACUUCAAGUCUUAAGCAGCAGUAGAUCUAAUUGGGUCGAUUUUCUAACAAAGAAAGGUUAAAAGAAUUAUGUACCUUUUUGGAAGUUCGCAAAUUGCCGAUGGAUGAAUGUGUGAUAUCGCCAUCAAAAUCUUAUGUUUUUCUCAGAUUUGUGUUUAUAGGUAACUUUUGUAAGUAUGUAAUUGUGAAUGGUUCUUGAGAAUAGUGAUUUGUAAGUAAAUUUUUGUAAAUGUCUUUGUAUGUAUUGACGUUCUAGGUUAUUAGUUUUAGUUUGUAUGUUAAUUUUAUGUUUUAAUAAAGUUUCCUGAUUAUUUGA